Molecule: non-coding RNA, 116 nt
Organism: Acanthosepion pharaonis
Lineage: Eukaryota; Metazoa; Mollusca; Cephalopoda; Sepiida; Sepiidae
Source: the annotation of a GenBank genome assembly
UGACGGCCAUAUCACGUUGAAACACUGGUUCCCGUACUAUCACCGGAGUUAAGCAACGUCGAACCCAGUCAGUAUCUAGAGAUGGGUGACCGCUUGGGAAUACCGGGUGCUGUAAG